CAUAAGGGCUGGGAAGAUGGCUA
Molecule: non-coding RNA, 23 nt
Filed under: Cricetulus griseus (Chinese hamster)
Lineage: Eukaryota; Metazoa; Chordata; Mammalia; Rodentia; Cricetidae
Source: RNAcentral